UCAAGCUAAUAAGAGCAUAGGGUGGAUGCCUUGGCACUAGGAGCCGAAGAAGGUCGCGAUAAGCUGCGAAAAGCUUUGGGUAGGCGCAAAUAGCCGAUGAUCCAGAGAUUACCGAAUGGGGAAACCUGGCUGGGAAGAUCCCAGUCACUGCAUGGUGAAUACAUAGCCAUGCAGGGGGAACUCGGGGAACUGAAACAUCUAAGUACCCGAAGGAAGAGAAAGAAACAUCGAUUACCUAAGUAGCGGCGAGCGAAAGGGUAAGAGGCCAAACCAAAGGACCUAGUCCUUUGGGGUUGUGGACUGCAAACGGUAUUAAGAAGAUUUAACCGAAGUGUUUUGGAAAAGCACGUCAAAGAGGGUGAAAACCCCGUAGGUGAAAAGUCGACUUAGCCAGCAGGAUCCAGAGUAGCACGAGACACGUGGAACCUUGUGUGAAGCAGGGGGGACCACCCCCCAAGCCUAAAUACUACCUAGUGACCGAUAGCGCAUAGUACUGUGAAGGAAAGGUGAAAAGAACCCCGGGAGGGGAGUGAAAAAGAACCUGAAACCCUAUGUUUACAAGCAGUGGAAGCACGUUAAGGUGCGACCGCGUACUUUUGUAGAACGGUCCAGCGAGUUACUUAUACUGGCAAGGUUAAUGACUUAAGGUCAGGAGCCGAAGGGAAGCCAAGUCUUAAUAGGGCGUUAAGUCAGUGUGAGUAGACCCGAAACCGGGUGACCUAUCCAUGGGCAGGUUGAAGUUACCGUAAAAGGUAAUGGAGGACCGAACCCACGCAUGUUGAAAAAUGCGGGGAUGACCUGUGGAUAGCGGAGAAAUUCCAAUCGAACCCGGAGAUAGCUGGUUCUCCUCGAAAUAGCUUUAGGGCUAGCCUUGAAAUAGUCUAAUGGAGGUAGAGCACUGAAUUGCCUAGGGGGCCUCACAGCCUACCGAAGCAUAUCAAACUCCGAAUGCCAUAUAGAUGUUUUUCAGGAGUCAGACUAUGGGAGAUAAGUUUCAUAGUCAAAAGGGAAAGAGCCCAGACCACCAGCUAAGGUCCCAAAGUGUGCAUUAAGUGGAAAAGGAUGUGAGAUUUCACAGACAACUAGGAUGUUGGCUUAGAAGCAGCCAUGCAUUCAAAGAGUGCGUAAUAGCUCACUAGUCGAGAGAUCUUGCGCCGAAAAUGUCCGGGGCUAAAAUGCACCACCGAAGUUGUGGAAAGCACUUAUUUAGAUAAGUGUUUUGGUAGAGGAGCAUUCUUAACACGACGAAGCUGUACCGUAAGGAGCAGUGGAGAGUUAAGAAGAGAGAAUGCUGGAAUGAGUAGCGAGAGAGAAGUGAGAAUCUUCUCGGCCGAAUAUCUAAGGUUUCCAAAGUAAAGCUGAUCUUCUUUGGGUAAGUCGGGACCUAAGGUGAGGGCGAAAGCCGUAGCCGAUGGACAACUAGUUGAAAUUCUAGUACUACGUAUGAACAGAACUGUGGGGACACAGAAGGAUAGGGAAAUCUGGGAAUGGAAAAACCAGUGCAAGCACAAAGCUUGGUUGAUAGGCAAAUCCGUCAACUAAAAGGCGAAGUGUGAUGCGGAUCGAAAUUAAAGUAGAGAAGUUCCUAAAUCCAUACUGUCAAGAAAAGCCGCUAUUGCUUCAUACGUACCCGUACCGCAAACCGACACAGGUAGAUGAGGAGAGAAUCCUAAGGCCGACGGGAGAAGCGUUGUUAAGGAACUCGGCAAAAUGACCCCGUAACUUCGGGAGAAGGGGUGCCUACGCAAGUAGGCCGCAGAGAAUAGGCUCAAGCGACUGUUUAGCAAAACACAGGUUUAUGCAAAACCGAAAGGUGAAGUAUAUGAGCUGACGCCUGCCCGGUGCUGGAAGGUUAAGGGAGUGCUUAGACUUUAGUCGAAGGUGCGAACUUAAGCCCCAGUAAACGGCGGCCGUAACUAUAACGGUCCUAAGGUAGCGAAAUUCCUUGUCGGGUAAGUUCCGACCCGCACGAAAGGCGUAACGAUUUGGGCACUGUCUCGACAACGCGCCCGGUGAAAUUGUAGUACCGGUGAAGAUGCCGGUUACCCGCGACAGGACGGAAAGACCCCGUGGAGCUUUACUCUAGCUUGAUACUGGGAUUCGAUAUUACAUGUACAGGAUAGAAGGGAGACUUUGAACUAUGGACGCCAGUCUGUAGUGAGUCGUUGUUGGGAUACCUUCCUUGUAGUAUUGGGUUUCUAACCUAGCACCAUUAUCUGGUGUGGGGACAAUGUCAGGUGGGGAGUUUGACUGGGGCGGUCGCCUCCGAAAGUGUAUCGGAGGCGCUCAAAGUUCAUCUCAGAAUGGUUGGAAACCAUUCGAAGAGUGCAAAGGCAUAAGAUGGAUUGACUGUGACACCGACGGGUGGAGCAGGUAGGAAACUAGGACUUAGUGAUCCGGUGGUAUGAAUGUGGGAUUGCCAUCGCUCAACGGAUAAAAGCUACCCCGGGGAUAACAGGCUUAUCACUCCCAAGAGUUCACAUCGACGGAGUGGUUUGGCACCUCGAUGUCGGCUCAUCGCAUCCUGGGGCUGUAUUCGGUCCCAAGGGUUGGGCUGUUCGCCCAUUAAAGCGGUACGCGAGCUGGGUUCAGAACGUCGUGAGACAGUUCGGUCCCUAUCCGUCGUGGGCGCAAGAUAUUUGAGAGGAGCUGUCCUUAGUACGAGAGGACCGGGAUGGACUGACCUCUGGUGUAUCUGUUGUCUUACCAAAGGCAUAGCAGAGUAGCCAUGUUGGGAAGGGAUAAACGCUGAAGGCAUCUAAGCGUGAAGCCCCCCUCGAGAUAAGAUAUCUCAUCCAGAAAUGGAGUAAGACCCUGGAAGACUACCAGGUUGAUAGGUUAGGGUGUAAGCACGGUAACGUGUUCAGCUGACUAAUACUAAUAGGUCGAGGGCUUGAACUA
Molecule: ribosomal RNA, 2901 nt
Filed under: Petrocella atlantisensis
Lineage: Bacteria; Bacillati; Bacillota; Clostridia; Lachnospirales; Vallitaleaceae
Description: ribosomal RNA 23s ribosomal RNA
Rfam family: Bacterial large subunit ribosomal RNA
Source: RNAcentral